GACGAACGCUGGCGGCGUGCUUAACACAUGCAAGUCGUACGGUAAGGCCCUUUCGGGGGUCCACGAGUGGCGAACGGGUGAGUAACACGUGAGUAACCUGCCCACAACUUUGGGAUAACGCUAGGAAACUGGUGCUAAUACUGGAUAUGUGCUCCUGCUGCAUGGUGGGGGUUGGAAAGCUCCGGCGGUUGUGGAUGGACUCGCGGCCUAUCAGCUUGUUGGUGGGGUAGUGGCCUACCAAGGCGGCGACGGGUAGCCGGCCUGAGAGGGUGACCGGCCACAUUGGGACUGAGAUACGGCACAGACUCCUACGGGAGGCAGCAGUGGGGAAUAUUGCACAAUGGGCGCAAGCCUGAUGCAGCAACGCCGCGUGCGGGAUGACGGCCUUCGGGUUGUAAACCGCUUUCAGCAGGGACGAAGCUUUUUGUGACGGUACCUGCAGAAGAAGCACCGGCUAACUACGUG
This 465-nucleotide ribosomal RNA is filed under the name uncultured bacterium. Its description in RNAcentral is "partial 16S ribosomal RNA". It matches the Rfam family "Bacterial small subunit ribosomal RNA", at positions 28 to 507 of the family's 1533-position model. The record is from RNAcentral.